AUUGAACGCUGGCGGCAUGCCUUACACAUGCAAGUCGAACGGCAGCACGGGAGCAAUCCUGGUGGCGAGUGGCGAACGGGUGAGUAAUAUAUCGGAACGUGCCCGGUCGUGGGGGAUAACGUAGCGAAAGCUACGCUAAUACCGCAUACGAUCUACGGAUGAAAGCGGGGGAUCGCAAGACCUCGCGCGAUUGGAGCGGCCGAUAUCAGAUUAGGUAGUUGGUGAGGUAAAGGCUCACCAAGCCGACGAUCUGUAGCUGGUCUGAGAGGACGACCAGCCACACUGGGACUGAGACACGGCCCAGACUCCUACGGGAGGCAGCAGUGGGGAAUUUUGGACAAUGGGCGCAAGCCUGAUCCAGCAAUGCCGCGUGCAGGAU
This 379-nucleotide ribosomal RNA is filed under the name uncultured bacterium. Its description in RNAcentral is "bacterial SSU rRNA". It matches the Rfam family "Bacterial small subunit ribosomal RNA", at positions 30 to 409 of the family's 1533-position model. The record is from RNAcentral.